Molecule: long non-coding RNA, 218 nt
Organism: Puntigrus tetrazona (Sumatra barb)
Lineage: Eukaryota; Metazoa; Chordata; Actinopteri; Cypriniformes; Cyprinidae
Exons: 3
Source: RefSeq, a predicted model, not a curated record
CAACCUUCCAGCUCGAGCACAAUCCCAACGCCAAAUACACCUAUGGAGCGUUCUGUGUCAAGAAAUGCCCACAUAACUUUGUGGUGGAUCACAGCUCUUGUGUCAGAGCCUGUCCGAGCAACAAGAUGGAGGUGGAGGAAAAUCACAUCAAGAUGUGCAUCCCAUGCACUGACAUCUGUCCGAAAGUGUGUGACGGUAUAGGUACCGGCAGUCUUCAG